Molecule: long non-coding RNA, 846 nt
Organism: Gadus chalcogrammus (walleye pollock)
Lineage: Eukaryota; Metazoa; Chordata; Actinopteri; Gadiformes; Gadidae
Exons: 3
Source: RefSeq, a predicted model, not a curated record
GCGCAGCCGACUAGAGACUCUCUGUGGAACCGGUAAGAUACUGGAUUCACCAUCUUGAUGACCGUUGCAUUUAUUCAACAAGGAUCAAGAAGUUCCUGACUUCUCCUUCAGGCGACUGAGGAAGAUCCGAUGUGCAGCAACUGGGUGUGGUGGUGCAGAGACCCAGUGUGAAGAGUUGAUUCACACCUGUGGUCCAGUGGGCUGCUUCCAUCUACCCUGAGGAUCCCUGGCUACACCUGCACAUCGAUCUACACCCAACAUUACCUCAAAGAGCUCCAUCUAUGCCAAUACUACACGCACUGAUAUCACUUUGCUGUACAGACAAAAUUGUCAUAACAUGUUUUGGGGGAAGAAUGUUUGAAUUAAUCUUUGAUUUGUCAUUUUAUUUCUGUACCCCAUAUCUAUGAUCCCAGCUGUUGUAUUUCUGACAUAGCAGGGAACCCUCUUUUAGGGAGCGACUAGAGGGACGAGGCUGGAAGCAAAGAUGCAGUAACUUCACUCGCUUACCUAAUAUCUAAACUCGUUUGCCUAAAAUUGCUUGCAUGAAACCGAAACUCGCUUGCCUAAACUCACUUGUCUAAACCCGCUUGCCUAAACCCGCUUGCAUGAAACCUAAACUCGCUUGCAUGAAACCUAAACCCGCUUGCAUGAAACCUAAACUCGCUUGCAUGAAACCUAAACCCGCUUGCAUGAAACCUAAACUCGCUUGCAUGAAACCUAAACCCGCUUGCAUGAAACCUAAACUCGCUUGCAUGAAACCUAAACCCGCUUGCAUGAAACCUAAACCCGCUUGCCUAAACCCGCUUGCCUAAACCCGCUUGCAUGAAACCUAAACCCGCUUGCAUG